RNAcentral lists this ribosomal RNA (456 nucleotides) under uncultured Bifidobacterium sp. RNAcentral's name for it is "bacterial SSU rRNA". It matches the Rfam family "Bacterial small subunit ribosomal RNA", at positions 209 to 679 of the family's 1533-position model. Lineage: Bacteria; Bacillati; Actinomycetota; Actinomycetes; Bifidobacteriales; Bifidobacteriaceae. The record is from RNAcentral.
GCUUUCGCGGUUGGGAUGGGGUCGCGUCCUAUCAGCUUGACGGCGGGGUAACGGCCACCGUGGCUUCGACGGGUAGCCGGCCUGAGAGGGCGACCGGCCACAUUGGGACUGAGAUACGGCCCAGACUCCUACGGGAGGCAGCAGUGGGGAAUAUUGCACAAUGGGCGCAAGCCUGAUGCAGCGACGCCGCGUGAGGGAUGGAGGCCUUCGGGUUGUAAACCUCUUUUAUCGGGGAGCAAGCGAGAGUGAGUUUACCCGUUGAAUAAGCACCGGCUAACUACGUGCCAGCAGCCGCGGUAAUACGUAGGGUGCAAGCGUUAUCCGGAAUUAUUGGGCGUAAAGGGCUCGUAGGCGGUUCGUCGCGUCCGGUGUGAAAGUCCAUCGCUUAACGGUGGAUCCGCGCCGGGUACGGGCGGGCUUGAGUGCGGUAGGGGAGACUGGAAUUCCCGGUGUAAC